Molecule: unclassified non-coding RNA, 253 nt
Filed under: uncultured Bacillaceae bacterium
Lineage: Bacteria; Bacillati; Bacillota; Bacilli; Caryophanales; Bacillaceae
Description: contains 16S-23S intergenic spacer region
Rfam family: Bacterial small subunit ribosomal RNA
Source: RNAcentral
UACGUAGGUGGCAAGCGUUAUCCGGAAUUAUUGGGCGUAAAGCGCGCGCAGGCGGUUUCUUAAGUCUGAUGUGAAAGCCCUCGGCUUAACCGUGGAGGGUCGUUGGAAACCGGGAAACUUGAGUGCAGAAGAGGAGAGUGGAAUUCCACGUGUAGCGGUGAAAUGCGUAGAGAUGUGGAGGAACACCAGUGGCGAAGGCGACUCUCUGGUCUGUAACUGACGCUGAGGCGCGAAAGCGUGGGGAGCAAACAGG